CGGUGUGAGGGAGAUCUGGUUGUUACACCUGUGACCUCUGCCAUCCCAUUUCCACCAUGGUUCGUUUGGAUGACGUGGCGGGCUAGCUCAGUUGUACUUCUCUCAUAGCCCCAUGUGCAUCCUUACUGAAGCUGUGCGUUCGAUGGAAGAAGAGGACCUUGCCAGUUAGAGGAGAGCUAUUCUUUGGUCCAGAGUAAAGGAGUAGCUGUGCUCCUCUGUCAGAGCCCCCAAACAAGCAGAGCAGGUUACAAAUGUCAAGUCUUGCCUCCUCCUAGCAAUGGACUUGGUCCAGCUAU
Molecule: small nuclear RNA, 296 nt
Filed under: Peromyscus maniculatus bairdii (prairie deer mouse)
Lineage: Eukaryota; Metazoa; Chordata; Mammalia; Rodentia; Cricetidae
Description: 7SK RNA (ENSPEMG00000003743.2)
Rfam family: 7SK RNA
About the family: 7SK was discovered as an abundant small nuclear RNA in the mid-70s but a possible function has only recently been suggested.
Source: Rfam by way of RNAcentral